RNAcentral lists this ribosomal RNA (600 nucleotides) under Klebsiella pneumoniae. Its description in RNAcentral is "bacterial SSU rRNA". It matches the Rfam family "Bacterial small subunit ribosomal RNA", at positions 1 to 592 of the family's 1533-position model. Lineage: Bacteria; Pseudomonadati; Pseudomonadota; Gammaproteobacteria; Enterobacterales; Enterobacteriaceae. The record is from RNAcentral.
AAAUUGAAGAGUUUGAUCAUGGCUCAGAUUGAACGCUGGCGGCAGGCCUAACACAUGCAAGUCGAGCGGUAGCACAGAGAGCUUGCUCUCGGGUGACGAGCGGCGGACGGGUGAGUAAUGUCUGGGAAACUGCCUGAUGGAGGGGGAUAACUACUGGAAACGGUAGCUAAUACCGCAUAAUGUCGCAAGACCAAAGUGGGGGACCUUCGGGCCUCAUGCCAUCAGAUGUGCCCAGAUGGGAUUAGCUUGUAGGUGGGGUAACGGCUCACCUAGGCGACGAUCCCUAGCUGGUCUGAGAGGAUGACCAGCCACACUGGAACUGAGACACGGUCCAGACUCCUACGGGAGGCAGCAGUGGGGAAUAUUGCACAAUGGGCGCAAGCCUGAUGCAGCCAUGCCGCGUGUGUGAAGAAGGCCUUCGGGUUGUAAAGCACUUUCAGCGGGGAGGAAGGCGUUAAGGUUAAUAACCUUGGCGAUUGACGUUACCCGCAGAAGAAGCACCGGCUAACUCCGUGCCAGCAGCCGCGGUAAUACGGAGGGUGCAAGCGUUAAUCGGAAUUACUGGGCGUAAAGCGCACGCAGGCGGUCUGUCAAGUCGGA